This 504-nucleotide ribosomal RNA is filed under the name uncultured bacterium. RNAcentral's name for it is "partial 16S ribosomal RNA". It matches the Rfam family "Bacterial small subunit ribosomal RNA", at positions 28 to 506 of the family's 1533-position model. The record is from RNAcentral.
GACGAACGCUGGCGGCGUGCCUAAUACAUGCAAGUAGAACGCACAGUUUAUACCGUAGCUUGCUACACCAUAGACUGUGAGUUGCGAACGGGUGAGUAACGCGUAGGUAACCUGCCUGGUAGCGGGGGAUAACUAUUGGAAACGAUAGCUAAUACCGCAUAAUAUUAAUUAUUGCAUGAUAAUUAAUUGAAAGGUGCAAUUGCACCACUACCAGAUGGACCUGCGUUGUAUUAGCUAGUAGGUGAGGUAACGGCUCACCUAGGCGACGAUACAUAGCCGACCUGAGAGGGUGAUCGGCCACACUGGGACUGAGACACGGCCCAGACUCCUACGGGAGGCAGCAGUAGGGAAUCUUCGGCAAUGGACGAAAGUCUGACCGAGCAACGCCGCGUGAGUGAAGAAGGUUUUCGGAUCGUAAAGCUCUGUUGUAAGAGAAGAACGGGUGUGAGAGUGGAAAGUUCACACUGUGACGGUAUCUUACCAGAAAGGGACGGCGAACUACGU